Molecule: ribosomal RNA, 484 nt
Filed under: uncultured bacterium
Lineage: Bacteria
Description: partial 16S ribosomal RNA
Rfam family: Bacterial small subunit ribosomal RNA
Source: RNAcentral
AUUGAACGCUGGCGGCAGGCCUAACACAUGCAAGUCGAGCGGAUGAAGGGAGCUUGCUCCUGGCUUCAGCGGCGGACGGGUGAGUAAUGCCUAGGAAUCUGCCUGGUCGUGGGGGAUAACGUCCGGAAACGGGCGCUAAUACCGCAUACGUCCUGAGGGAGAAAGUGGGGGAUCUUCGGACCUCACGCUAUCAGAUGAGCCUAGGUCGGAUUAGCUAGUUGGUGGGGUAAAGGCCUACCAAGGCGACGAUCCGUAACUGGUCUGAGAGGAUGAUCAGUCACACUGGAACUGAGACACGGUCCAGACUCCUACGGGAGGCAGCAGUGGGGAAUAUUGGACAAUGGGCGAAAGCCUGAUCCAGCCAUGCCGCGUGUGUGAAGAAGGUCUUCUGAUUGUAAAGCACUUUAAGUUGGGAGGAAGGUCAGUAAGUUAAUCCCUUGCUGUUUUGACGUUACCAACAGAAUAAGCACCGGCUAACUUCGUG